RNAcentral lists this small RNA (28 nucleotides) under Bombyx mori (domestic silkworm). Its description in RNAcentral is "ovarian small RNA-6287". Lineage: Eukaryota; Metazoa; Arthropoda; Insecta; Lepidoptera; Bombycidae. The record is from RNAcentral.
UAGAGUCGCCUUAUUACCCGAUAACAAG